Molecule: long non-coding RNA, 1448 nt
Filed under: Lonchura striata (white-rumped munia)
Lineage: Eukaryota; Metazoa; Chordata; Aves; Passeriformes; Estrildidae
Description: domestica (Bengalese finch) lncRNA (ENSLSDG00000001813.1)
Source: RNAcentral
GAUUAAGUAGCCCUGUUAAGUUUUUACCUCUCUGAUUGGAGCUUAUUUUAACCUCAAUUAAGCCAUCAGCCUGGGUUUCUGAAGGCAGAGCAAUAGCAGAGCCAUUAUCAUUCUCCCCACCUUUUGUAUGAAAAUGAUGUUGAGGAUAGGUUGCUUUGGGGAUUGCUCUGUGGCAGGUAACCAACGCCGAGAAUCGGGAGGAUAAAUGGUGCCAGACUCCCAGAGGUGCCGUGGCACUGUGUAAUUAUUGUUCCAGACAGCUGAAAGCAGCAGGGUUUCUGGUUCCCCUGCUUAGUUUCAGUCUGCCAUGAUUGCUGGCACAGAAAGAUGCUGAUUGUAAGUAAACAUCAAUUAUGCCCUGCUACCCCACUGCUAACAUCUCUGGGCUUGCAAGAAACAGAAGCACAGUGCUGUGCUUGGCUCCUGCUACCAAAACCCACACCUAUAUGGAUUUCAGCUUCCAGGUUUUUGUCUUGCUUGGUCAAGGGACAUUGCUCCUAAAUUCCAUCCUCAUGAAUAACGCAGAAAAGGUUAUGAGAGUUAAACAAAGCACCAGUCCUUCCAAGAGCUCCAAAUGCCAGCAUGGCUGGAAGAAGCUGAUGGAGGGAGGAGGAUGGAAGGGGCAGAGGAGGGGGAAGUUCUCAGCCAGAACCCAGGAGCCAGAGUUGUUCCUCAGGAGCUCAGGAAACAGGGUGAUGGAAACACUGCUUGAUGAAUGGAACAGCACCCAGGAGGUGAGGGGUGGUGGCAUUGCCACAGAUUACCAAGAUAAUCCUGUGACCUGCCUGCCCAACACACAGAGGUUUUAGUGGCAGCUCUUCAGAGAGCAUGCCACUACCAGUGGAAUAGGUUUUCACAGCUUGGAAUCAUGAUUACCACCACCAAAAAGUAAAAGGCUGUGAGACUAAAAGGAGUGAGAAAAUUCUUCCUGAGUGAGUUGAGGAAACAGCCGUACCAAACCUGACACCCCUUUGCUGGGACAGUUGGAAGAAGCAUCCUCCAUCAUGUCCAGACAGAGUUUCCUGUCUCGAGAACAAGUUGUCCAGCACUAGUUCUCUGGGAAACACCAGGGAAAAAAAGUGAAACACCAAAUUGAUUCCAAGGAUGAUUUUCUUCCAUGAAAUGAAGAUAAAUAAUUCCGCUGCUUUACGACUGGUGGUUUUACUGUGAGGUAUUGCACAACAGGAUUAAAUAAUGUUCAAGUAUGACUACAUCCAAUUUUAUCUGCCUGUGUUUUCCUUAGCUCAUUGUGUCUCAGAGAAGCCUGGUUAUCAAGAACAAAAGCCUUUUAGCUCUGCAGAUGACAUGCACAUGAACCAUUCUCACCUGCCUGCUGUAACAAGCAUGUGGAAUACAUAUUGAACUCAUUCUUCAUAGUGUUUUGUCUCAUAACAUUUGGAAUUUAAGUAAGCUUUGUACCUUAAUAAAUAAAUAUUGAGCUAAUUGCA